UGGGAUAUAGCUCAGUGGUAGAGUGCAUGCUUAGCGUGAACCAGGUCCUGGGUUCCAUCCCCAGUACCUCUA
Molecule: transfer RNA, 72 nt
Filed under: Camelus ferus (Wild Bactrian camel)
Lineage: Eukaryota; Metazoa; Chordata; Mammalia; Artiodactyla; Camelidae
Rfam family: tRNA
About the family: Transfer RNA (tRNA) molecules are approximately 80 nucleotides in length. Their secondary structure includes four short double-helical elements and three loops (D, anti-codon, and T loops).
Source: Rfam by way of RNAcentral